GACGAACGCUGGCGGCGUGCCUAACACAUGCAAGUCGAGCGAGUGAAUCUCCUUCGGGAGUGAAGCUAGCGGCGGACGGGUGAGUAACACGUGGGCAACCUGCCUCAUAGAGGGGAAUAGCCUUUCGAAAGGAAGAUUAAUACCGCAUAAGAUUGUAGCUUCGCAUGAAGUAGCAAUUAAAGGAGCAAUCCGCUAUGAGAUGGGCCCGCGGCGCAUUAGCUAGUUGGUGAGGUAACGGCUCACCAAGGCGACGAUGCGUAGCCGACCUGAGAGGGUGAUCGGCCGCAUUGGGACUGAGACACGGCCCAGACUCCUACGGGAGGCAGCAGUGAGGAAUAUUGCGCAAUGGGGGCAACCCUGACGCAGCAACGCCGCGUGAGUGAGGAAGGUUUUCGGACUGUAAAGCUCUGUCGAGCGGGAAGAAGUGUACCAUGGCUAAUAUCCAUGAUAUUUGACGGUACCGCUAGAGGAAGCACCGG
RNAcentral lists this ribosomal RNA (479 nucleotides) under uncultured bacterium. RNAcentral describes it as "bacterial SSU rRNA". It matches the Rfam family "Bacterial small subunit ribosomal RNA", at positions 28 to 496 of the family's 1533-position model. The record is from RNAcentral.